This is a long non-coding RNA of Myotis lucifugus (little brown bat), 827 nucleotides long. RefSeq lists it as uncharacterized. The transcript has 4 exons. NCBI's taxonomy places the organism in Eukaryota, Metazoa, Chordata, Mammalia, Chiroptera, Vespertilionidae. The record is from RefSeq and is a predicted model, not a curated record.
GCGUGCCCUGCCGCUGCGUGAGGUGCUGGGAUCAGGUACGCCCGGGCAGGUAGGGCCUGGGGUUCUGGGGGCCUGGGGGUCUGGCCCCUGAGUGCUGCCGCGUUUGCGGACAGGGAAGACGCCGGGGAAACAGCGUUUAACAGGUGUGUGGCCUGGUGUCCCGCACCUUGGUGCCUUCCCUUCCUGCCUCCCCUCGCGCUCGCAGCCUAUGGGCCAGGCGGGGUACCUUUGGGCCUGGGGUCUAGGUGUUCUGUCGCUGAAGAUGCCAGAGGCGGGGAGCAGCUUCCGUGGACUAAAAUUUAGAUUGAGAAAAUGAGAGGAGCAUGCCAGCAGAGGCUCCGUCUUGAGUGCUGGGAGUGUGCCCGUGAUUUCUUCAUCCUCUCUUCUCCGCAAGUGUUUGUAAUCUGGUGGGGAAACAGGCAGACCAGCUGUCAUACAAGGCUGAGUCAGGUCAUUGCAGCCCCACGAAGACAGAACAGACUUCUCCAGUGAGGACAUUCAUUGCCUCCCAGUCAUUCCCCAAAAGGUCCUGACACAGAGGAGGAGCUCAAUGAAUAUUGAUUUAUUUAUUUUAAAUUUUUACCAUCCCUUUACUCUCAUCCUGUGUGAGUCUUUUGUUCUGAGGACAGAGGGCUAAGCACAUGGUCGGGAAAUCGGAAGGGAGUGCUCAGAAAACAGAGUCACACGUGCUGCAGGAGCAGGAAGUCAUCCCAGAGGACACAGGCGAAGAUGGCAUCUCUGAAAGCUUCCAGCUUCUACAGAUGGAUGUGGAAUGUGAGCCUCAGGAGAGGGAGACCCUGCCCACGGACAGUGCCACCUGGUGCUCG